RNAcentral lists this ribosomal RNA (666 nucleotides) under Pantoea dispersa. RNAcentral's name for it is "bacterial SSU rRNA". It matches the Rfam family "Bacterial small subunit ribosomal RNA", at positions 770 to 1436 of the family's 1533-position model. RNAcentral also lists the same sequence under 1 other name. Lineage: Bacteria; Pseudomonadati; Pseudomonadota; Gammaproteobacteria; Enterobacterales; Erwiniaceae. The record is from RNAcentral.
AAACAGGAUUAGAUACCCUGGUAGUCCACGCCGUAAACGAUGUCGACUUGGAGGUUGUGCCCUUGAGGCGUGGCUUCCGGAGCUAACGCGUUAAGUCGACCGCCUGGGGAGUACGGCCGCAAGGUUAAAACUCAAAUGAAUUGACGGGGGCCCGCACAAGCGGUGGAGCAUGUGGUUUAAUUCGAUGCAACGCGAAGAACCUUACCUGGCCUUGACAUCCAGAGAACUUAGCAGAGAUGCUUUGGUGCCUUCGGGAACUCUGAGACAGGUGCUGCAUGGCUGUCGUCAGCUCGUGUUGUGAAAUGUUGGGUUAAGUCCCGCAACGAGCGCAACCCUUAUCCUUUGUUGCCAGCGGUUCGGCCGGGAACUCAAAGGAGACUGCCGGUGAUAAACCGGAGGAAGGUGGGGAUGACGUCAAGUCAUCAUGGCCCUUACGGCCAGGGCUACACACGUGCUACAAUGGCGCAUACAAAGAGAAGCGACCUCGCGAGAGCAAGCGGACCUCAUAAAGUGCGUCGUAGUCCGGAUUGGAGUCUGCAACUCGACUCCAUGAAGUCGGAAUCGCUAGUAAUCGUAGAUCAGAAUGCUACGGUGAAUACGUUCCCGGGCCUUGUACACACCGCCCGUCACACCAUGGGAGUGGGUUGCAAAAGAAGUAGGUAGCUU